This 4479-nucleotide long non-coding RNA is filed under the name Sus scrofa (pig). Its description in RNAcentral is "lncRNA (ENSSSCG00015048869.1, ENSSSCG00025021505.1)". Lineage: Eukaryota; Metazoa; Chordata; Mammalia; Artiodactyla; Suidae. The record is from RNAcentral.
GCUGGACCCGCGGCAGGAAGCACGGCCGCUGCUGCCCCCGCCCGCGUGUCUGCCUGUCUUCUCGAGCCCCUCCUCCUCCUCGUGCCACGCGUGGGUCUGAGCCCUGCGGGCAGCUCGGGGCCGUGACUCUUCGCUAGCGCUCUCCCGUGCGGCCUAGAGCCAGAUUUGAGCCAUGUUUGCCACGAGGCCCCAAGAACGUGGGUUGGGACUUGGCAAAGCCAGAUUUGGGUUGCCAGGCUGGUGGGUAGCUCGUCGCGGUGACCCGCGUGCCAGUCGGAGCUUCCCAAGGCGGUCAGCAGCUUGGGAUCGUGGGACGGCUGUUUCCAUGCAGGUUCGUGCCGCUGGCCUGGAGGAGCGUCCUGCCAGGCCUGGGUGUCUGCCACCGACCACACCGGGUGCAGGGACACGGGGAGGGCUGCGACUCUGGCGUGGGGUUCAGCGGGGCCAGCCGGGCCCUCAGCCGGAUCUCUCCCGUCCAUGCUGAUCACCAGCGCCCGCCUUGCUCCCGGGGUGCCCAGGGCUGGAGGCCGAUGCUCUUUGUGUUCCUGGAUGAAGGAGGCUGUGGUAGAAAGACAGCUGACCCGAGAUGCUGAACACCUGAACUCUGGUUCUGCCAGUCACGAGCUGUGGGAGCUCGGGUCCAGCUCCCUUGUUUGCAAAGUCGUGGGGAGGAGAGGGGGUGAGGGCAGUGCCCUCUCAGGGGCUCCACAGCUCCGGAGAUGGUAACGUGAUGCUCCUGCCCCGCGCCCCUUCCUGGAGCUGCGCCCCUUUGCCGGCCCCCGAGGCCGGGGUCCUGGGGCCUUUCCCGGGAGGGCCGUUGCAUCCACAGUGGCUGGAGGCUCGAGGGAGGAACAGUGUGAGGGGAGGUGUCGCUGAUCCUCAGAGGACCUACGCGAUCAAGAACUAAUUAAAACAGCACUUUUCUUUACCCACGCUCGCGUCCCCGAGUGUUUUCUCAGGGGGCGGCGGGGCACCUGCUUUGAGGCUUUCUCCCCUAGACCCUGGCGUCAUGACGACGCAGAGCGGGAGCCCGGCCCGGGAGCCUCCCUGCGGGGAAGGCCUGGGCCCUGCUCUGGCUGUGCAGCCACAGCCGCUCUUUCACGUGCAGGCAGCAGGGCCGGGGCCGGAGCCGGGGCAAGCCUGUCGCGGAUGCCCCCGGCUUCGGAGGGCCUUUUCCGGGAGAAGCCCCAGCCCCAGCUCCCCUCUCUGCCCCGUGCCCUCCGCACUGAGGGUCAAGGACGCUGCAGUGCGUGUUUGUCGUUCACUUUAACUGGGCGGGCUGUGCAUCUCCUUCCGUCUGAGGGGAGCCCCCACCUCAGGGGUCUUGGGAAGCCCAGCUCUCUCCUCCCUGUAGAAGCCAAAUGUGUCCGUAGCUUCACGUGCCAGCAGCCCUUGCAGCCCAGGCCCAGGUCUAGUGGUAGCUAUCUAAACAUACAAAGGAAAGCAAAAGAAAAGACGCAGAGGAAAAGCAAAGCAGAGGGGCUGCGGAGGCCUCCCUGGUGGCUGUAGGUCGCAGGGAGGCGGGUUUCCAUGGCAGCAGUGACAGGUCUGCGUGCACGACGCUGGACGGCUUGGGGAGCUGCCUGGGCGCCCGUGAGCUCUUGGCUUAAUCCCGUGUUAACGCUCUCGAUGAGACCCGGGACAUUUCGCUAAGCCCUCCAGCCCCUUCUCGGACUAGCGCGAGAACCUAACCGUUGCCAGCCCUGCUCCGAGCGAUCCGCUGUGUUUCUCUUCUUGCCGAUCUUAUUGCUCCCAGCCUUCUGUAGGCCCCAGCCUCUCUGCGCCCCGUUCCUCAGGGGCCACAGCACCUGCUAGAGCAAGCCCCUCCCCCGAGCAAGCCCCGCCCUGGCAGUGGGUCCGCGCAGACCGCCCCUCCCUGCGGGCGGCCGGUGGCCGUUUCAUUCACUAGGCGGUGCGGGCGGAGGAUCCGUGGUCUGAGAGCUCGUCGGGGGCCUGUGGAAAUACAAGUCCUGAAGAAGAAUCAGAAUUAAAAGGGGAAAACCUAAAUUAGAUACCAUAAACCGUACCAUCCUGUUAAACUCAUUGUUAGUUUCAUAGCUAUUUCAUAGCAUGUCAGAAUUCUUCUACACUUGAAAAUAACGCGUAGGUUAGAAUCUUCACCUCACAAGAAAUUCUGCACACGCAAGAGGAUUGGCUAAGAUUGAGCCAAGUGUAAAUUAAGUGACUUACCCUCACCAAAUAAUUCCAAAAGCAAAACUGUACAGUUUCCAGAUCUCACUUUAGAGACCGCCUGCCCCGCUGGCCGCGUGUGCACUUCGGCACCUGAUGCGCGGGGCGGAGCCUCUCGGAGGGGGGGCGCCUGGACCCUGGGCAGAGCGCGCGCCGUGGGCCCCGGCUUUGGGGCGGGGACCUUGUCCUACAGACCCCAGCCCAGGGAGGCCUUGCGCGCGACAAGGUUUGAGGUCUGCGAGGCUGUCCCCAGUCGCCAGUCGCCACUUUCACCCGGCGGCAGGGCCUGCCAGUCGUUGCCAGGAUCCGUUCCCGGGAAUUGUGCCGCCGUCCCUCCCCGCCUCCCGCCUCCUGUGCACAGACGCCUCUCGGGCCCAGGUUCCAGCCAGGUGACCGCGAGGAGCAGCGGCUGUCCCAGCUCCAAGGCGCGGGUUUUACGGGACUUUGGCUGUCUCGCACUUCCUCUCUCUCCCCUUCCUUGUGACAGGAACCCGGACAAGCCUCGGGUCCUGCAGGUGGACGUGGCGUCCCAGAGGGUGGUGACGUAGGAGCCUCGGUUCUUUGACAAGCUCAGGGAGCAGGACCGUCCACCCGCCUCCAACUGCCUGCUUCCCCCUCCGCCGGUUACUGAGGGAGCACUGCGGGCCUCUCUCUAAGCCGUUUGGGCAUCUGUGAUGCAUCGUGGCGUUACAGCGCCUGAGCCUGAGCUCUGGCAGAAACAGAGCUGCCUUGCCUUUGUGCCGCGAGGAUUCGCCUGGGCUUCCUGGGAGCUGCGGCACCGCUGGCCUCCAGCGGACCAAGACGUGCCGAGGCCAAGCCCAGCAGGCGGGGAGGGACCCGGGCUCUCUCCGUGCCUGGUCCAGGCCACCACAGCCUCAGCAGCCCCCAGCCUGGGGACGAGGCCUGGUGCUGGGGCUCGGCUCCCCAUUUCUUCCAGCGAGUCGCAGGCACGGUCUGGCCCACUGAUAAUGUCACUUGAUGGCAGAGCCUGGGCCAGGCGGUGCCUCUGUGGCUUUUUUGGUUUAUUAAUGGGCCUAGUGAAGCAUUCCUCUCUCCUGUGUGAGGUGUCUCUCUGCGUAACCAAGCAGUUGAUGAGACGGUUAACUUAACAACGCACAGCAUAAGAGUUGUGAGUUUAGGUUGCAGCUCAGGAGGCAGCCUCGGCUCCAGAGAGGAGGGAUAAACAGCCUUACAUCUCGCCUGUAAGCCUGACACGCAUCUUGGUAAGAGGUUACGCUGGUCGCAAAGAACCAGUAUUCCAAGCCAGUGGCUUCAGUGGCUUUCUCUGUGUGGACAGAUGCAAGAAUGUGGGUUCGUGCAGUUCUCCCUGAGGCACACACUUAACUGUGUAGGUUUUUCCGAAGCACAGAGGGCCCCGUCCUGACGCUCAUCCUGCCUCCUCCCAGGGGCGAGCUCCCGGCGCGGCGGAGGGCCUCACCGGCGAACCGGGCGGUGAGCGAGGCUCUUGGUGCUUCUUUGUUUGCAAAGAAGGGUCUCUUUCAGACGUACUGCAGCUAAUAGCAGAAGGGUUGCUAGACUGGGGCACCGCCAGGGAGUGAAUGAAUCCCGGCAGUGACCACCCAAGGCCGCCCAUAGCGCAAGGAGAAAGUUGUCCAGACGCCGCGAGUCUGAUACGUGACAUCACCUACAGGGCGCCGCCAAACGAGGUCUGAAUGUGAUCCAGUCUGGAGGUCUGACUGCCAAGUCAGCUCUAGCUCCCAAGUGAGGGGACCUGCCCGGAACAGAGGAGCAUUUUAAGGGACACCCCGAGGAGACAAUCGGCAAAAUCCGGUUUGUGAGCAACAGUAGGUCCGGUUUCCGCAACAAGUAUAUCGCAAGGGGGGAAAACAUGAGAUGGACGGGAAACCUACAGGCUAAGGAGACUUAAAAAACCGUAUAAGCCAAUCGUGAAGUAUGAAACUUACUUGCAUCCUGGUUUAAAGAAACUAAAAAUAUCAUGAGAGGGUUGGGAAAAGAUGAGCAGUCGGUCACAGGACACUUGAUGGUAUUAAGAACUUAUUGUCUGCAGUUCCCUGCAUGGCUCAGUGGUUUAAAGACUCCGACUAGGAACCAUGGGGUUGCGGGUUCGAUCCCUGGCCUCGGUCAGUGGGUUAAGGAUCCGACGUUGCCGUGAGCUGUGGUGUAGGUCGCAGACGCAGCUUGGAUCCCGAGUUGCUGUGGCUGUGGCGUCGGCCGGUGGCUACAGCUCCGAUUCGACCCCUGUCCUGGGAACCUUCACAUGCCGUGGGUUCGGCCCUAGAAAAAGACAAAAAGACCAAAAAAAAAAAA